Molecule: ribosomal RNA, 501 nt
Filed under: Leptolyngbya sp. M391
Lineage: Bacteria; Bacillati; Cyanobacteriota; Cyanophyceae; Leptolyngbyales; Leptolyngbyaceae
Description: bacterial SSU rRNA
Rfam family: Bacterial small subunit ribosomal RNA
Source: RNAcentral
CGUCGCUAACACAUGCAAGUCGAACGAAGUCCUUGGGGACUUUGCGGCAGACGGGUGAGUAACGCGUGAGAAUCUACCUUCAGGCCGGAAACAACACCUGGAAACGGCUGCUAAUACCCGAUAUGCCGAAAGGUGCAAAGUUAUUUCGCUUGGAGAGAAGCUCGCGUCCGAUUACCUAAUUGGUGGGGUAAAGGCCUACGGAACCAACGGUCGGUAACUGGUCUGUGAGGAUGAGCAGCCACACUGGAACUGAAACACGGUCCAGACUCCUACGGGAGGCAGCAGUGGGGAAUUUUCCGCAAUGGGCAAAAGCCUGACGGAGCAAUGCCGCGUGGGGAAAGAGGGUUUUUGGAUUGUAACCCCCUUUUCUCAAGGAAGAACAAAAUGACGGUACUUGAGGAAUCAGCCUCGGCUAACUCCGUGCCAACAGCCGCGGUAAUACGGAGGAGGCAAGCGGUAUCCGGAAUUAUUGGGCGUAAAGCGUUCUUAGGCGGCUGUUCA